Molecule: long non-coding RNA, 1711 nt
Filed under: Rattus norvegicus (Norway rat)
Lineage: Eukaryota; Metazoa; Chordata; Mammalia; Rodentia; Muridae
Description: long non-coding RNA NONRATT011807
Source: RNAcentral
GUACUACAGCCUCCCAGCAGCCUUCCCAGAUCUACAGACCACGCCCAGGGAAAAUUAAUAAAGUCACAACGUAUCGAGGCCCACAGUGAAUCUGCAGUCCAAGGCAUGUGUCCGGGCGGUGCACGUCCAGAUGGGAGCUUUACACGUGGCUCGCAACAAGACAGCCAUGGUUUGGAAGACCGUCCUUUUUCGUCAAGCCCACAGUUCACAGUGGAUGUGGUGAAGGACAAACCUUCUGAAACGAACCUGAGCAUGACUCUGAAUGCUCAAGAGCCUUAUCAUUUGGCAGAGAAAAAAACCAGUGAUGCGCAGUUUGUAACUCCUCCUCGGACACCUUCCCAGUCAAGUAUAGUGGACCAGACUAAGAGGGGUGGAAGAAACCAAUGUCCUCAGCCCAAGUCCUUGCAGCUUUUAAAGCCAUCCAACUUGAGUUCUUUGACACCUCCUCCAGAUUCUGAUUCAUCGCCAGGUAGAACUUCCACAUGUAAGAAGGCACCAGGAGUCACACCUUCCAAUUCAAAACAUCAGCCAACACCUAAUCCUAACAAUGUCGCAAAUCAUUUGAAUCUGAAAACAUCCAAACUCCGUCCCCCUUCAGGCUCUUUCAAGCAAAAACAAACAAGCAGUCCCCAAGCAGAGCCUCAGAACUUCCAGGCCAAGACAAGCAUCCCGAGGCCCUUAGCUCGGCCAAAAGAACUGCAUGCCCCACACAGCAGUUUGCAUUCUGGGGAUUGUGUGGCCUCUAAUCGAUAUUCUCGUCUUCCUAAACCAAAGAUCCAUUAAGUGCAUAGCCAUCACCUGCCAGUUUGUCCUGUGAAAACAGUCUGCUCUCUAAUAGCUUUAUGUGCAGCUUAUUUCUAUGUUGGAGGUUCCAUUUCAGCAAAUCUUAACAUUAAAAUGCAGAAGCUUCUACUAGUUUGGCUCCUCCAUUUUAUAUCCUGGUUGAGUUACGUACCGUUUGCACAGGCUUGUCUCAGGUAAACACAAGUUUACUUCUCCAUCCCAGAGGCCAAGUCCCUCCUCAUGGAAAUACUCCAUUUUUCAGGCAAGAUGUGCACUUUGCUGGUUUAGUGCUGUUGUGGGACAUAAUGACAGGUUAUCAGAAUCUCGCCCCCCAUGCUUAUUCUAACUCUUGUCAAUAUGGCUGCUAUUUUAACUAGAGAUCCAUAGUGGUGAUGGAAGGUCGUUGUCUGCGAGCAGGGUCCUGGCCAGCUUUUGUAUAUUUAUGAGGUCUAUGCAAACGGUCCCCAGUGAGGAAAGGUCAGGCUCCUAGUGGGGGAGUCUUACCAGUUUUAUCUUUCCUUUCAUAAUCUAGUCCUACUGUUUCUCCAUUUGUCAGACAAAUUCCUACGCUGACGGUUAUCAUUUUAUGUAAACCAGUUCUGUGCUGCUGUAACAUCUCGUUUUUCACACACAUUUACUCUUUGCUUACAUUGCUACUGGGAACAUUUGGAGAGCUUGGGAGGCCGAUGAUACAUCAGUUGUAACCUCUGUUGGUGCUAGAGUUUCGUGCUGCAAUUGAGUUUUGAAUCUUAGUAACUUAUGGAUCCAUCGUAUCACUUUUAAGUUUCCAUAGCAUACAUUGAAAAUUUAAAAUUAAGUCUUUAUUAUAAUAUUUGUAUUUAUUGACUUUUUCUUAAUGUCUGAAGACUGGAAUAAUGGACUUGAAAUAUUUGCACAAGAUUUUGGUGGGAUAUAAAAGAGGGUUUAA